UCCCACGCCAUAUCUCCUGACCAGGGCUGGACAGGUACGCUACACUGUCUGGAGGAAGGAGAGUAUGACGUUUACGUCUGUGUAUACACACACACCACACUCUAACACUAGGUCUCUCUCUCUUAUACACAGUCACACACACACACUCUAACACUAGGUCUCUCUCUCUUAUACACAGUCACACACACACACUCUAACACUAGGUCUCUCUCUCUUAUACACAGUCACACACCACACUCUAACACUAGGUCUCUCUCUCUCUUAUACACAGACACACACCACACUCUAACACUAGGUCUCUCUCUCUUAUACACAGUCACACACACACACUCUAACACUAGGUCUCUCUCUCUUAUACACAGUCACACACCACACUCUAACACUAGGUCUCUCUCUCUUAUACACAGUCACACACCACACUCUAACACUAGGUAUCUCUCUCUUAUACACAGUCACACACACACACUCUAACACUAGGUCUCUCUCUCUCUUAUACACAGUCACACACCACACUCGUAACACUAGGUCUCUCUCUCUCUUAUACCCAGUCACACACUACCUCGUUCCUCCUCGUCCAGGUCUCUCUCUCUUAUACCCAGUCACACACUACCUCGUUCCUCCUCGUCCAGGUCUCUCUCUCUUAUACCCAGUCACACACUACCUCGUUCCUCCUCGUCCAGGUCUCUCUCUUAUACCCAGUCACACACUACCUCGUUCCUCCUCGUCCAGGUCUCUCUCUCUUAUACCCAGUCACACACUACCUCGUUCCUCCUCGUCCAGGUCUCUCUCUUAUACCCAGUCACACACUACCUCGUUCCUCCUCGUCCAGGUCUCUCUCUCUUAUACCCAGUCACACACUACCUCGUUCCUCCUCGUCCAGGUCUCUCUCUCUUAUACCCCGUCACACACUACCUCGUUCCUCCUCGUCCAGGUCUCUCUCUU
Oncorhynchus keta (chum salmon) is the source of this 942-nucleotide long non-coding RNA. RefSeq lists it as uncharacterized. Lineage: Eukaryota; Metazoa; Chordata; Actinopteri; Salmoniformes; Salmonidae. The transcript is spliced from 4 exons. The record is from RefSeq and is a predicted model, not a curated record.